RNAcentral lists this ribosomal RNA (253 nucleotides) under uncultured bacterium. Its description in RNAcentral is "partial 16S ribosomal RNA". It matches the Rfam family "Bacterial small subunit ribosomal RNA", at positions 524 to 776 of the family's 1533-position model. The record is from RNAcentral.
UACGAAGGGAUCUAGCGUUGUUCGGAUUUACUGGGCGUAAAGGGCGCGUAGGCGGUCUGGCAAGUCAGAUGUGAAAGCCCUGGGCUUAACCCGGGAACUGCAUUUGAAACUGCCAGGCUUGAGUAUGGGAGAGGUAAGUAGAAUUCCCAGUGUAGAGGUGAAAUUCGUAGAUAUUGGGAAGAAUACCAAUGGCGAAGGCAGCUUACUGGACCAUAACUGACGCUGAGGCGCGAAAGCGUGGGGAGCAAACAGG